This 294-nucleotide ribosomal RNA is filed under the name Mariprofundaceae bacterium. RNAcentral describes it as "partial 23S ribosomal RNA". It matches the Rfam family "Bacterial large subunit ribosomal RNA", at positions 2645 to 2925 of the family's 2925-position model. Lineage: Bacteria; Pseudomonadati; Pseudomonadota; Candidatius Mariprofundia; Mariprofundales; Mariprofundaceae. The record is from RNAcentral.
CCGUGGGCGUUGGAGAAUUGAGAGAAUCUGUUCCUAGUACGAGAGGACCGGAAUGGACGAACCUCUAGUGUUUCUGUUGUUCUGCCAAGAGCAUUGCAGGGUAGCUACGUUCGGAACGGAUAACCGCUGAAGGCAUCUAAUCGGGAAGCCGGUCUCGAGCUUAUUUCUCCCGGAGUUUUAAACUCCCUAAAGGGCCCUGGAAGAGUACCAGGUUGAUAGGCUGGGUGUGGAAGAGUGGCAACACUUGGAGCUGACCAGUACUAAUUGCCCGUGUGGCUUGACCAUGUAACAUUA